UUUUUUGGAGAGUUUGAUCCUGGCUCAGAGUUAACGCUGGCGGCGUGCCUAACACAUGCAAGUCGAGCGAAGAGUACCAGAGUACCGGGCUCUUAGCGGCAGACGGGUGAGUAAUACUUAAACAAUCUGCCCUCGAAUGGGAGACAACCAAGCGAAAGUUUGGCUAAUACCCCAUACAAUCCUCUUGAGGCAUCUCAAGGGGAUGAAAGGCCCGCAAGGGUCGUUCGAGGAGGAGUUUGAGUCCUAUCAGCUAGUUGGCGGUGUAACAGACCACCAAGGCUAUGACGGGUAGCCGAUCUAAAAGGAUGACCGGCCACA
This 318-nucleotide ribosomal RNA is filed under the name Elusimicrobia bacterium GWB2_63_16. RNAcentral's name for it is "bacterial SSU rRNA". It matches the Rfam family "Bacterial small subunit ribosomal RNA", at positions 1 to 312 of the family's 1533-position model. The record is from RNAcentral. Lineage: Bacteria; Pseudomonadati; Elusimicrobiota.